Molecule: ribosomal RNA, 188 nt
Filed under: uncultured Sphingobacterium sp.
Lineage: Bacteria; Pseudomonadati; Bacteroidota; Sphingobacteriia; Sphingobacteriales; Sphingobacteriaceae
Description: partial 16S ribosomal RNA
Rfam family: Bacterial small subunit ribosomal RNA
Source: RNAcentral
CCUACGGGAGGCAGCAGUAGGGAAUAUUGGGCAAUGGGUGAGAGCCUGACCCAGCCAUGCCGCGUGCAGGAAGAAGGCGUUCUGCGUUGUAAACUGCUUUUGAUCGGGAAGAAAGUGUCUUUGCGAAGACAGUUGACUGUACCGAUAGAAUAAGCACCGGCUAACUCCGUGCCAGCAGCCGCGGUAAU